UACGUAGGGUGCGAGCGUUAAUCGGAUUUACUGGGCGUAAAGCGUCCGCAGGCGGCCCGUUAAGACAGGUGUGAAAUCCCUGGGCUCAACCUAGGAAUUGCGCUUGUGACUGGCGGGCUCGAGUACGGUAGAGGGGGGUGGAAUUCCUGGUGUAGCAGUGAAAUGCGUAGAGAUCAGGAGGAACACCGAUGGCGAAGGCAGCCCCCUGGGCCUGUACUGACGCUCAUGCACGAAAGCGUGGGGAGCAAACAGG
RNAcentral lists this ribosomal RNA (253 nucleotides) under uncultured microorganism. Its description in RNAcentral is "partial 16S ribosomal RNA". It matches the Rfam family "Bacterial small subunit ribosomal RNA", at positions 524 to 776 of the family's 1533-position model. The record is from RNAcentral.